GGUGAGGUGUCAGAGUCUGGCUUAUCGUGACGGUUUUGAAAACCGUUGAGCAGUAAAAUGUUCCGUGGGUUCGAAUCCCACUCUCACCA
This 89-nucleotide transfer RNA is filed under the name Streptomyces tamarix. RNAcentral describes it as "tRNA-Ser". It matches the Rfam family "tRNA". Rfam says of the family: Transfer RNA (tRNA) molecules are approximately 80 nucleotides in length. The record is from RNAcentral. Lineage: Bacteria; Bacillati; Actinomycetota; Actinomycetes; Kitasatosporales; Streptomycetaceae.